Molecule: long non-coding RNA, 853 nt
Organism: Cavia porcellus (domestic guinea pig)
Lineage: Eukaryota; Metazoa; Chordata; Mammalia; Rodentia; Caviidae
Source: Ensembl
GGGAUGGGGAGCGGGCAGAACUGAUUUCUUUCUGGUCUAGUGUGCCACCUACUGGCAGUCUGGCAUCACUGGCAGUUGGAAAAUACAACUGGAUUUUCCUCCUGCUUCAAAGCUCAGCGCCCAUGUUUUACCAAGCUAAGCCAAUUCCAGGCUGAGGAGCUUGGAGGGUAACAGGGAAUGAUUUACGCAGGAAGAUGGAGCAUAAACGUAAUCAUCAUCACUAGCCCUGCCAGAAGUCACCAGCCACCAUGGUCAACUUGUGCACAGCCUGGCUCUAGUGAUGCCUGGUGCCUGGCACAGGGAGGCCCAGUGAUCAGAACAAGGAAGGCAAAAGGAGAAAGCAUCGGGAUUUCUCUGCCCACAUCAGCUUCUAAUUUCCAGCCCACCGCUAGUUUCCCAGCAGGGCUCCCUGUUGCUGCAGAGCUCUGAAGGGGUGUGACACCCCCAGCAGUGUACUGGAAACCUCCACAAUGGAGCUUUCCUUCCUUCCUUCCUCUCCCUCUCCCCUCUCAAGACACAGGGGCAGCCACUGUCCACCUCAGGAAUGAGGACAAGCUGGGCAGGACAGUUCAAGGACCCAGUUCAAGCUAGUAAAAGAGGAAGCUGUGUUCACGUCUUCCAUCUGCCUCCAAAGAGAGGUGAGGGUAGCGGAAGAGGAAAAGUGAAGACGGCAUCCCGGCAUCCCGUCUCCUCCAAGGAACCAAAGCACCUGGGCUCUAGCCCUUUCCACUCUCACCAGGUGAUGGCAGUCUGGGGACAGGCCAUCUUGGCGCUCGCUUUGCCUCUGCUCCUCAAGCCUGGCAGCCUUUCUGCUGAGAACCAUCAAGGUCACCACUGGCCACUUCUCCACUAA